AGUAAAAGUCGUAACAAGGUUUCCGUAGGUGAACCUGCGGAAGGAUCAUUACCGAGUGCGGGUUCUCACGAGCCCAACCUCCCACCCGUGUUUACCGUUACCGCGUUGCCUCGGCGGGCCCACUGGGGCCUGGCCCCGGUCGCCGGGGGGCUUCUGCCCCCGGGCCCGCGCCCGCCGACGCACCCUAGAACCCUGCCUGAAUAGUGAGUCUGAGUGAGAUUUGAAAUCAUUAAAACUUUCAACAACGGAUCUCUUGGUUCCGGCAUCGAUGAAGAACGCAGCGAAAUGCGAUAAGUAAUGUGAAUUGCAGAAUUCCGUGAAUCAUCGAAUCUUUGAACGCACAUUGCGCCCCCUGGCAUUCCGGGGGGCAUGCCUGUCCGAGCGUCAUUUCUGCCCUCCAGCACGGCUGGGUGUUGGGCGCUGUCCCCCCGGGGACACGCCCCAAAAGCAGUGGCGGCGCCGCGUCGGGUCCUCGAGCGUAUGGGGCUUUGUCACCCGCUCGGGAGGGACUCGGUCGGCGCUGGUCUUCCCUUUAGGCCGCCCUUCGGAGUGCGCCUCUUCCGGUUGACCUCGGAUCAGGUAGGGCUACCCGCUGAACUUAAGCAUAUCAAUAAGCGGAGGAAAAGAAACCAACAGGGAUUGCCUUAAUAACG
This 653-nucleotide ribosomal RNA is filed under the name uncultured fungus. Its description in RNAcentral is "eukaryotic LSU rRNA". The stretch from base 234 to 387 matches the Rfam family "5.8S ribosomal RNA". The record is from RNAcentral. Lineage: Eukaryota; Fungi.